CUAUCAGUUCGCAUGGACACGAUAGCCAAAGGAGAAAUCCGCUUUAAGAUGGGCUCACGGCUGAUUAGCCAGUUGGCGGGGUAACGGCCCACCAAAGCAAUGAUCAGUAGCCGAGCUGAGAGGCUCAACGGCCACAUGGGACUGAGACACGGCCCAGACUCUACGGGAGGCAAGCAGUCGGGAAUAUUGCACAAUGGAGGAAACUCUGAUGCAGUGACGCCGCGUAUAGGAAGAAGGUCUUUGGAUUGUAAACUAUUGUCAACGGGGAAGAAAAAAAUGACAGUACCUGUGGAGGAAGCUCCGGCUAACUACGUGCCAGCAGCCGCGGUAAUACGUAGGGAGCGAGCGUUAUCCGGAUUUAUUGGGUGUAAAGGGCGCGUAGACGGAUUUGCAAGUUGGAUGUGAAAUCCCUGGGCUUAACCCAGGAACUGCAUCCAAAACUGUAAACCUUGAGUAUGGGAGAGGAAAGCGGAAUUCCUAGUGUAGCGGUGAAAUGCGUAGAUAUUAGGAGGAACACCAGUGGCGAAGGCGGCUUUCUGGACCAAAACUGACGUUGAGGCGCGAAAGUGUGGGGAGCAAACAGGAUUAGAUACCCUGGUAGUCCACACCGUAAACGAUGGAUACUAGGUGUAGGGUGGUUAACCCCAUUCUGUGCCGGCGUUAACACAAUAAGUAUCCCACCUGAGUAGUACGACCGCAAGGUUAAAACUCAAAGGAAUUGACGGGGGCCCGCACAAGCAGUGGAGUAUGUGGUUUAAUUCGAAGCAACGCGAAGAACCUUACCAGGGCUUGACAUACAUAGGAAUUACUAAGAGAUUAGUAAGUCUUUCGGGACCUAUGAACAGGUGGUGCAUGGUUGUCGUCAGCUCGUGUCGUGAGAUGUUGGGUUAAGUCCCGCAACGAGCGCAACCCCUAUUGUUAGUUGCCAGCAAGUAAAGUUGGGCACUCUAGCGAGACUGCCGUAGAUAAUACGGAGGAAGGUGGGGAUGACGUCAAAUCAUCAUGCUCUUUAUGUCCUGGGCUACACACGUACUACAAUGGGGAAGUACAGAGGGAAGCAAAACCGCGAGGUGGAGCAAAACCCUAAAACUUCUCUCAGUUCAGAUUGCAGUCUGAAAUUCGACUGUAUGAAGAUGGAAUUGCUAGUAAUUGCAGGUCAGCAUACUGCAGUGAAUACGUUCUCGGGCCUUGUACACCGCCCGUC
Molecule: ribosomal RNA, 1204 nt
Filed under: uncultured bacterium
Lineage: Bacteria
Description: bacterial SSU rRNA
Rfam family: Bacterial small subunit ribosomal RNA
Source: RNAcentral